RNAcentral lists this transfer RNA (71 nucleotides) under Loxodonta africana (African savanna elephant). It matches the Rfam family "tRNA". From Rfam's summary of the family: Transfer RNA (tRNA) molecules are approximately 80 nucleotides in length. Their secondary structure includes four short double-helical elements and three loops (D, anti-codon, and T loops). The record is from Rfam by way of RNAcentral. Lineage: Eukaryota; Metazoa; Chordata; Mammalia; Proboscidea; Elephantidae.
AAAAUGGUGGUUCAGUGGUAGAAUUCUCACCUUCCAUGUGGGAGACCCAGGUUAAAUUCCUGACCAAUGCA